Salmo salar (Atlantic salmon) is the source of this 416-nucleotide non-coding RNA. NCBI's taxonomy places the organism in Eukaryota, Metazoa, Chordata, Actinopteri, Salmoniformes, Salmonidae. The record is from RefSeq and is a predicted model, not a curated record.
AACAAUGCGCUUAUUACGCCUCAAGUCAUUUGGCUGCUACUUGCUAUUGUGAUGUUGUAAAGCCUAUCAAACAUGUCAAAAUAUAAAGAGGGUGCCCUGUUCGAAUUAAACAUGCUACGAGAAACGUGGUGUCGAGUAGAGAUUGACAGCAAAUUUUGGGAAAGAGCAGAGAAGAGACAUUUUGACUGUCAUUUGCAAAACACCUGCGACUUCAAGUCGCUCCAGGCAGUGACUCCGGGGCAACGGUCUGCUUGGACAGCUGCAGGACAUGUCACCAAAUACCCGGAGCGAAAACACUUCGAAGAAAGCCACAAGGCCCACCUGGUAUAAUGAAGCAGAGGAACCCUUCAGCACCAAGGGGAAUAUUUCUGAAAUAAAUGGCACUUAAAUUAUAUAUAGAAGUGUCCACCACAAUG